UUAAGCGACUAAGCGUACACGGUGGAUGCCCUGGCAGUCAGAGGCGAUGAAGGACGUGCUAAUCUGCGAAAAGCGCCGGCGAGGUGAUAUGAACCUUUGACCCGGCGAUGUCCGAAUGGGGAAACCCAGUGUGAUUCGUCACACUAUCGUUAACUGAAUACAUAGGUUAACGAGGCGAACCGGGGGAACUGAAACAUCUAAGUACCCCGAGGAAAAGAAAUCAACCGAGAUUCCCCCAGUAGCGGCGAGCGAACGGGGAGCAGCCCGGAGUCUGAAUCAGCUUGUGUGUUAGUGGAACGGUCUGGAAAGUCCGACGGUACAGGGUGAUAGUCCCGUACACGAAAAUGCACAGGUUGUGAACUCGAAGAGUAGGGCGGGACACGUGGUAUCCUGUCUGAAUAUGGGGGGACCAUCCUCCAAGGCUAAAUACUCCUGACUGACCGAUAGUGAACCAGUACCGUGAGGGAAAGGCGAAAAGAACCCCGGCGAGGGGAGUGAAAAAGAACCUGAAACCGUGUACGUACAAGCAGUGGGAGCCUACUUGUUAGGUGACUGCGUACCUUUUGUAUAAUGGGUCAGCGACUUAUAUUCUGUAGCAAGGUUAACCGUAUAGGGGAGCCGAAGGGAAACCGAGUCUUAACUGGGCGUUAAGUUGCAGGGUAUAGACCCGAAACCCGGUGAUCUAGCCAUGGGCAGGUUGAAGGUUGGGUAACACUAACUGGAGGACCGAACCGACUAAUGUUGAAAAAUUAGCGGAUGACCUGUGGCUGGGGGUGAAAGGCCAAUCAAACCGGGAGAUAGCUGGUUCUCCCCGAAAGCUAUUUAGGUAGCGCCUCGUGAACUCAUCUUCGGGGGUAGAGCACUGUUUCGGCUAGGGGGCCAUCCCGGCUUACCAACCCGAUGCAAACUACGAAUACCGAAGAAUGUUAUCACGGGAGACACACGGCGGGUGCUAACGUCCGUCGUGAAGAGGGAAACAACCCAGACCGCCAGCUAAGGUCCCAAAGUCAUGGUUAAGUGGGAAACGAUGUGGGAAGGCACAGACAGCCAGGAUGUUGGCUUAGAAGCAGCCAUCAUUUAAAGAAAGCGUAAUAGCUCACUGGUCGAGUCGGCCUGCGCGGAAGAUGUAACGGGGCUAAACCAUGCACCGAAGCUGCGGCAGCGACACUAUGUGUUGUUGGGUAGGGGAGCGUUCUGUAAGCCGUUGAAGGUGGCCUGUGAGGGUUGCUGGAGGUAUCAGAAGUGCGAAUGCUGACAUAAGUAACGAUAAAGCGGGUGAAAAGCCCGCUCGCCGGAAGACCAAGGGUUCCUGUCCAACGUUAAUCGGGGCAGGGUGAGUCGACCCCUAAGGCGAGGCCGAAAGGCGUAGUCGAUGGGAAACAGGUUAAUAUUCCUGUACUUGGUGUUACUGCGAAGGGGGGACGGAGAAGGCUAUGUUAGCCGGGCGACGGUUGUCCCGGUUUAAGCAUGUAGGCGGAGGUUCCAGGUAAAUCCGGUACCUUUUUAACGCUGAGGUGUGAUGACGAGGCACUACGGUGCUGAAGUAACAAAUGCCCUGCUUCCAGGAAAAGCCUCUAAGCAUCAGGUAACACGAAAUCGUACCCCAAACCGACACAGGUGGUCAGGUAGAGAAUACCAAGGCGCUUGAGAGAACUCGGGUGAAGGAACUAGGCAAAAUGGUGCCGUAACUUCGGGAGAAGGCACGCUGAUAUGUAGGUGAAGCCCCUGCGGGUGGAGCUGAAAUCAGUCGAAGAUACCAGCUGGCUGCAACUGUUUAUUAAAAACACAGCACUGUGCAAACACGAAAGUGGACGUAUACGGUGUGACGCCUGCCCGGUGCCGGAAGGUUAAUUGAUGGGGUUAGCGGCAACGCGAAGCUCUUGAUCGAAGCCCCGGUAAACGGCGGCCGUAACUAUAACGGUCCUAAGGUAGCGAAAUUCCUUGUCGGGU
Molecule: ribosomal RNA, 1950 nt
Filed under: human gut metagenome
Description: bacterial LSU rRNA
Rfam family: Bacterial large subunit ribosomal RNA
Source: RNAcentral